GACGAACGCUGGCGGCGUGCUUAACACAUGCAAGUCGAACGAUGAAGAAAAGAAUUGAAGCUUCGGCAGAAAUUCAUUUCGGAUUAGUGGCAGACGGGUGAGUAACGCGUGAGCAACCUACCUUUUACAAAGGGAUAGCCUCGGGAAACCGGGAUUAAUACCAUAUAACAUUGCGACGAAGCAUUUCGAUGCAAUCAAAGCUACGGCGGUAAGAGAUGGGCUCGCGUCCCAUUAACCAGAUGGUGAGGUAACGGCUCACCAUAGUGACGAUGGGUAACCGGCCUGAGAGGGUGAACGGUCACACUGGAACUGAGACACGGUCCAGACUCCUACGGGAGGCAGCAGUGGGGAAUAUUGCACAAUGGAGGGAACUCUGAUGCAGCGACGCCGCGUGAGUGAUGAAGGAAUUCGUUUCGUAAAACUCUGUUCUAUGGGAAGAAAAGGACUGUACCAUAGGAGAAAGCUCCGGCUAAAUACGUG
RNAcentral lists this ribosomal RNA (480 nucleotides) under uncultured bacterium. RNAcentral describes it as "partial 16S ribosomal RNA". It matches the Rfam family "Bacterial small subunit ribosomal RNA", at positions 28 to 507 of the family's 1533-position model. The record is from RNAcentral.